This 549-nucleotide ribosomal RNA is filed under the name uncultured Glomus. Its description in RNAcentral is "SSU rRNA". It matches the Rfam family "Eukaryotic small subunit ribosomal RNA", at positions 548 to 1098 of the family's 1831-position model. The record is from RNAcentral. Lineage: Eukaryota; Fungi; Glomeromycota; Glomeromycetes; Glomerales; Glomeraceae.
UUGGAGGGCAAGUCUGGUGCCAGCAGCCGCGGUAAUUCCAGCUCCAAUAGCGUAUAUUAAAGUUGUUGCAGUUAAAAAGCUCGUAGUUGAAUUUCGGGGUCAGUAGGUUGGUCGUGCCACCGGUACGUACUGGUCUCACUGAUUCCUCCUUCCUGAUGAGCUGUAAUGCCAUUAAUUUGGUGUUGCAGGGAAUCUGGACUGUUACUUUGAAAAAAUUAGAGUGUUUAAAGCAGGCUAACGCUUGAAUACAUUAGCAUGGAAUAAUGAAAUAGGACGUUCGAUCCUAUUUUGUUGGUUUCUAGGAUUGACGUAAUGAUUAAUAGGGAUAGUUGGAGGCAUUAGUAUUCAAUUGUCAGAGGUGAAAUUCUUGGAUUUAUUGAAGACUAACUACUGCGAAAGCAUUUGCCAAGGAUGUUUUCAUUAAUCAAGAACGAAAGUUAGGGGAUCGAAGACGAUCAGAUACCGUCGUAGUCUUAACCAUAAACUAUGCCGACUAGGGAUCGGAUGAUGUUAAUUUUUUAAUGACUCAUUCGGCGCCUUACGGGAAAC